GUGGGGAAUCUUGCGCAAUGGGCGAAAGCCUGACGCAGCCAUGCCGCGUGAAUGAUGAAGGUCUUAGGAUUGUAAAAUUCUUUCACCGGGGACGAUAAUGACGGUACCCGGAGAAGAAGCUCCGGCUAACUUCGUGCCAGCAGCCGCGGUAAUACGAAGGGGGCUAGCGUUGCUCGGAAUUACUGGGCGUAAAGGGCGCGUAGGCGGACAGCUUAGUCAGAGGUGAAAGCCCAGGGCUCAACCUUGGAAUUGCCUUUGAUACUGGCUGUCUUGAGUUUGGGAGAGGUGAGUGGAACUCCGAGUGUAGAGGUGAAAUUCGUAGAUAUUCGGAAGAACACCAGUGGCGAAGGCGACUCACUGGCUCAAUACUGACGCUGAGGCGCGAAAGCGUGGGGAGCAAACAGGAUUAGAUACCCUGGUAGUCC
RNAcentral lists this ribosomal RNA (425 nucleotides) under uncultured bacterium. RNAcentral describes it as "partial 16S ribosomal RNA". It matches the Rfam family "Bacterial small subunit ribosomal RNA", at positions 354 to 796 of the family's 1533-position model. The record is from RNAcentral.